AGAGUUUGAUCAUGGCUCAGGAUGAACGCUAGCGGCAGGCUUAACACAUGCAAGUCGAGGGGUAUAGGUUUUCGGACCUAGAGACCGGCGCACGGGUGCGUAACGCGUAUGCAAUCUACCUUUUACAGAGGGAUAGCCCAGAGAAAUUUGGAUUAAUACCUCAUAGUAUUAUGAAAUGGCAUCAUUUUAUAAUUAAAGUCACAACGGUAAAAGAUGAGCAUGCGUCCCAUUAGCUUGUUGGUAAGGUAACGGCUUACCAAGGCAACGAUGGGUAGGGGUCCUGAGAGGGAGAUCCCCCACACUGGUACUGAGACACGGACCAGACUCCUACGGGAGGCAGCAGUGAGGAAUAUUGGUCAAUGGGCGCAAGCCUGAACCAGCCAUGCCGCGUGCAGGAUGACGGUCCUAUGGAUUGUAAACUGCUUUUGUACAGGAAGAAACAGUUCUACGUGUAGAACCUUGACGGUACUGUAAGAAUAAGGAUCGGCUAACUCCGUGCCAGCAGCCGCGGUAAUACGGAGGAUCCAAGCGUUAUCCGGAAUCAUUGGGUUUAAAGGGUCCGUAGGCGGUUUAGUAAGUCAGUGGUGAAAGCCCAUCGCUCAACGGUGGAACGGCCAUUGAUACUGCUAGACUUGAAUUAUUAGGAAGUAACUAGAAUAUGUAGUGUAGCGGUGAAAUGCUUAGAGAUUACAUGGAAUACCAAUUGCGAAGGCAGGUUACUACUAAUAUAUUGACGCUGAUGGACGAAAGCGUGGGUAGCGAACAGGAUUAGAUACCCUAGUAGUCC
RNAcentral lists this ribosomal RNA (787 nucleotides) under uncultured bacterium. RNAcentral's name for it is "bacterial SSU rRNA". It matches the Rfam family "Bacterial small subunit ribosomal RNA", at positions 8 to 796 of the family's 1533-position model. The record is from RNAcentral.